This 532-nucleotide ribosomal RNA is filed under the name uncultured bacterium. RNAcentral's name for it is "bacterial SSU rRNA". It matches the Rfam family "Bacterial small subunit ribosomal RNA", at positions 8 to 533 of the family's 1533-position model. The record is from RNAcentral.
AGAGUUUGAUCAUGGCUCAGGACGAACGCUGGCGGCACGCUUAAAACAUGCAAGUCGAACGUGAAGCCCGGGCUUGCCCGGGUGGAAAGUGGCGAACGGGUGCGUAACACGUGAGCAACCUGCCCCGAAGACCGGGAUAACACCGGGAAACCGGUGCUAAUACCGGAUGCCUUCACCAUGUCGCAUGGCGAGGUGAAGAAAUGGAUUCCGCUUCGGGAUGGGCUCGCGGCCUAUCAGCUUGUUGGUGGGGUAACGGCCUACCAAGGCAACGACGGGUAGCUGGUCUGAGAGGAUGUCCAGCCACACUGGGACUGAGACACGGCCCAGACUCCUACGGGAGGCAGCAGUUAGGAAUCUUGCGCAAUGGGCGAAAGCCUGACGCAGCGACGCCGCGUGAGGGAAGAAGGCCUUCGGGUUGUAAACCUCUUUCAGAAGGGACGAAGCCACUCGGGUUAAUAGCCCAGAGGGUGACGGUACCUUCAGAAGAAGCCCCGGCUAACUACGUGCCAGCAGCCGCGGUAAUACAAUCGCC